GUGUCCGAGGAUCGCCCCCCAUCAGCGCGUCGCGCCCAUGGGGGCGCGCGUC
This 52-nucleotide small RNA is filed under the name Jhaorihella thermophila. RNAcentral describes it as "Rhodovulum thermophilus ffh sRNA". It matches the Rfam family "ffh sRNA". The record is from Rfam by way of RNAcentral. Lineage: Bacteria; Pseudomonadati; Pseudomonadota; Alphaproteobacteria; Rhodobacterales; Paracoccaceae.